UGAGGUGGAGAGUUCAAAAUGUAUAACCAGUAACCAUUGAAAGUUAAUUCUUCCUUGAACAGGUAAGAAGCCUUCAGAAGCAAGCCAUGAGACAUUCGCCUCCUCCCUCCCUUUCUUCCUUCCACAAGCAUUUAACCAGCUGAGUAGGUGAGUAGGUGUUGGGCUAGCAGCUACUGACAGCCCAGCAGUGAAUGAAGCGUAGCCUUGUUCCCAGAGGACCUCAGAAGGAAAGGUGGACGGAGGAUACCAAUGUCAGACAACACAAAAAGAAUGAGUCAAAAAAGAGGCAGUGGAGUCCAGAAGAGAGGAGAGAAGAAACACAGGGACCUGUGAGUCAGCCAAGCUGUCCCUGAAGAAGUAGGAUCUGUUCCAAGAACAGAAGGAACUCAUGGGCAUCUGUGGUCAUGUUCACUCAUCAGGGACAGAGCACCUGGCAAAGCUGGCCCAUGAUGCAGCGCUCCUCUCCUCUCCCCAUAAUGGAUGGGUGGCGGUGCAGUGCAUGCUCCCCGUGGAAGCACGGACCCAGCGGGCCUUUCUCAGGUAACAGAGCGGGCCAACACUUCAAAAUCACAGAGCCAGACAUGAAUCCAU
This 591-nucleotide long non-coding RNA is filed under the name Ursus maritimus (polar bear). RNAcentral describes it as "lncRNA (ENSUMAG00000014679.1)". The record is from RNAcentral. Lineage: Eukaryota; Metazoa; Chordata; Mammalia; Carnivora; Ursidae.